GACGGGGCCCGGCACAAGCGGUGGAGUAUGUGGUUUAAUUCGAUGCAACGCGAAGAACCUUACCUGGUCUUGACAUCCCGGAGACCCUUAGGAAACUAGGGGGUGCUUCCAUCUGGAAGAAUCUGGAGACAGGUGCUGCAUGGCUGUCGUCAGCUCGUGUCGUGAGAUGUUGGGUUAAGUCCCGCAACGAGCGCAACCCUUGCCUUUAGUUGCCAGCAGUUCGGCUGGGCACUCUAAAGGGACUGCCGGUGUUAAACCGGAGGAAGGUGGGGAUGACGUCAAGUCCUCAUGGCCUUUAUGACCAGGGCUACACACGUACUACAGUGGCCGAUACAAAGGGCAGCGACACUGCGAGGUGAAGCCAAUCCCGUAAAAUCGGUCUCAGUCCGGAUUGGAGUCUGCAACUCGACUCCAUGAAGUUGGAAUCGCUAGUAAUCGUGGAUCAGCAUGCCACGGUGAAUACGUUCCCGGGCCUU
Molecule: ribosomal RNA, 476 nt
Filed under: uncultured Desulfobulbus sp.
Lineage: Bacteria; Pseudomonadati; Thermodesulfobacteriota; Desulfobulbia; Desulfobulbales; Desulfobulbaceae
Description: bacterial SSU rRNA
Rfam family: Bacterial small subunit ribosomal RNA
Source: RNAcentral